AACUCAAACCAACUUUGGAGUUGUCUGAUUUGGGGAGUCAUCACUCUUGGUCUUCCCUCUUAAAGGCGGUGACUGGGAUGAAUACUGGUCAGAGAAGAUAUUGUCCUUUCCUCUAAACUGAUGCAGCAGUGGUUUUAAAGGAGGACGCUGCCCUGGAUGAUGUAGAUGUCACAUGCUGUGCUGAUGGAGCUUCUUCAUGACUACAUCAAUUAUGCUAAAGAGAUCAUGAAAGUUGACAGUGAUGCAUGAUCUGUAUUCAUGGACUAUGAAACAAACUGUAAGUGUAUAAUUUGUAAAAACAA
Molecule: long non-coding RNA, 302 nt
Organism: Carassius carassius (crucian carp)
Lineage: Eukaryota; Metazoa; Chordata; Actinopteri; Cypriniformes; Cyprinidae
Exons: 2
Source: RefSeq, a predicted model, not a curated record